This 340-nucleotide long non-coding RNA is filed under the name Brassica napus (rape). RNAcentral's name for it is "long non-coding RNA (BNAP_LNC017885)". The record is from RNAcentral. Lineage: Eukaryota; Viridiplantae; Streptophyta; Magnoliopsida; Brassicales; Brassicaceae.
AAGUACAUACUUAUAGUCUGAAAGCAUCUUAAGCAAAAAGAUGCAAAUCUACACCAGCCAGCCUAGCCUCCCGCGAUCUCUACAAGCUCGCUACUGGUCACCUGAAACAACAACAAGUGAGGAGUGAGUAAUCUAGCAUUACUCAGCUAGUUACAAUCCCCAACUAACAAAUACAACCCCUCGCUAUCCCACCCCAAGCAAUCUAAAGCGAGAGGUUAACCUAAAAACAAAUCAACCCAAUUCAACGAAUAAUAAUAAGCAAUAUCAGAAAUACGCAGCUGGAAAAAGAUAGUAAGAUAUCUAGCAAUAUGCUAAUUACUAGCUCAAUACCAAACUCAAA